RNAcentral lists this ribosomal RNA (181 nucleotides) under uncultured Rhizobiaceae bacterium. RNAcentral describes it as "partial 16S ribosomal RNA". It matches the Rfam family "Bacterial small subunit ribosomal RNA", at positions 1202 to 1382 of the family's 1533-position model. The record is from RNAcentral. Lineage: Bacteria; Pseudomonadati; Pseudomonadota; Alphaproteobacteria; Hyphomicrobiales; Rhizobiaceae.
UUAUGGGCUGGGCUACCACACGUGCUACAAUGGUGGUGACAGUGGGCAGCGAGACCACGAGGUCGAGCUAAUCUCCAAAAGCCAUCUCAGUUCGGAUUGCACUCUGCAACUCGAGUGCAUGAAGUUGGAAUCGCUAGUAAUCGCAGAUCAGCAUGCUGCGGUGAAUACGUUCCCGGGCCUU